GGGUCAGUAGGUUGGUCGUGCCACCGGUACGUACUGGUCUCACUGAUUCCUCCUUCCUGAAGAACCGUAAUGCCAUUAAUUUGGUGUUGCGGGGAAACAGGACUGUUACUUUGAAAAAAUUAGAGUGUUUAAAGCAAGCUAACGCUUGAAUACAUUAGCAUGGAAUAAUGGAAUAGGACGAUCGAUCCUAUUUUGUCGGUUUCUAGGAUUGACGUA
RNAcentral lists this ribosomal RNA (216 nucleotides) under Glomeromycotina sp. Its description in RNAcentral is "partial small subunit ribosomal RNA". The stretch from base 40 to 216 matches the Rfam family "Eukaryotic small subunit ribosomal RNA", at positions 686 to 864 of the family's 1831-position model. The record is from RNAcentral. Lineage: Eukaryota; Fungi; Glomeromycota.